This 459-nucleotide ribosomal RNA is filed under the name uncultured bacterium. RNAcentral's name for it is "partial 16S ribosomal RNA". It matches the Rfam family "Bacterial small subunit ribosomal RNA", at positions 338 to 795 of the family's 1533-position model. The record is from RNAcentral.
CCUACGGGGGGCAGCAGUGAGGAAUAUUGGUCAAUGGCCGAGAGGCUGAACCAGCCAAGUCGCGUGAGGGAAGACGGCCCUACGGGUUGUAAACCUCUUUUGUCGGGGAGCAAAGCGAGUCACGUGUGACUCAUUGAGAGUACCCGAAGAAAAAGCAUCGGCUAACUCCGUGCCAGCAGCCGCGGUAAUACGGAGGAUGCGAGCGUUAUCCGGAUUUAUUGGGUUUAAAGGGUGCGCAGGCGGAGGUGCAAGUCAGCGGUCAAAUUGCGGGGCUCAACCCCGUACUGCCGUUGAAACUGCAGCCCUUGAGUGCGCGAGAAGUAUGCGGAAUGCGUGGUGUAGCGGUGAAAUGCAUAGAUAUCACGCAGAACUCCGAUUGCGAAGGCAGCAUACCGGCGCGCAACUGACGCUCAUGCACGAAAGCGUGGGUAUCGAACAGGAUUAGAUACCCCAAUAGUC